This 2901-nucleotide ribosomal RNA is filed under the name Lepraria eburnea. RNAcentral's name for it is "16S ribosomal RNA". It matches the Rfam family "Bacterial large subunit ribosomal RNA". Lineage: Eukaryota; Fungi; Ascomycota; Lecanoromycetes; Lecanorales; Stereocaulaceae. The record is from RNAcentral.
AAACGAAGUGAAUUGAAAUAUCUUAAUAACUUCAGGAAAAUAAAUCAAAAGAGAUUCCCUAAGUAAUGUGAAUGAAAUAGGAUAAGUUUUAAAAAGUAAAAUGGAGUGUACAUCUGUUUGAACAAAAGGGGAACCUUCCUCUAAAACUAAAUAUAAUAUAUAAGCGAUAGCGAAAAGUACCGUGAGGGAAAUGAUCAAAAUAGUAGUUUUAUAAGCAGCUCAAGAUAAAGUUUAAAUAAACAAUAAGAGCGUACCUUUCGCAUAAUGGGUCAGCAAGUUAAUGUUUGAUGCGAGCAGUAAUGCGUAGAUAAAACAAUUAUGAUAUAAUGAUGUAGUAUCAAAAUUAGACCCGAAGCCUAGUGAUCUUACCAUUAUCAGGAUUAUAAAAGUCCGAACGGGUUAUCGUUGUAAAGAUAUCCGAAGAAUUGUGGUAAGUUAGUGAAAGACAAUACUGACUAGGAUAGCUGGUUUUCUGCGAAACCUAUAUAAGUAGGUAAUUUAAAUAGAAUAUCAGAAGGUACAGAAUUGUGAUCUCAUACAACUAGUAUUCAUUUUUCUUUAUAUAUAAGGAAAAGUGAAAGGUAUGCUUUUUGUGGACAUUGGGGGGUCGUGAAGACUCUAUCAGUGAGUAUUUGUUCUCGGAAGGACUAGAUAUGUAUAUUGAAUAAUCGGACAUAGUACGAUAAGGUUGUAUGUCUAAAGGGAAACAGCCCAGAACAAGAGUUAAUAAGGUUCCAAAAUUUUUGUUAAGUGAAAUUAAGGCAGUAUUUAUCCCAAACGGCCAGGGAAUAGGCUUAGAAGCGGCCAUUUUUUGAAGACCUCGUAACAGAGCACUGGUUUUGUUUAAAAGUUUUAUGGAUAAAAGCACCGAAAAUUUAACGGAUCUAAACAAGAUACCGAAACCUUGUCCAUAUAUAUUAAUGUAUAUAUUAUACAUUGUAUAUAAGGGGUAGCGGAACAUUGGGGAAGUUUUAGAUUGCUCCUUUACAAGGAUUGAAUAGUGGUAGGAUAGACAACCCAAGUGAUAAUGCUGACAUGAGUAACGAUAAGGGGUAUUAUCUGAUAGUUGAGCUGCCUUUUUCACCUAUGAUAAAUAGGUAUAUUAUAACACAUAUGUUUUGUGUAUAGUUCAGUAUAAUAUUGGAGUAAAACACCCCUCGCCUAAAGCUUAUGGCAUUUAAUUAAAGUUACGGCCUCUAAGUUUGUUAUACUUUUAUAUAUACGUGUUAUUUAUGAGAGAUCCCUAACGGGAUAAACGAUGAGAAAACCUAGAGUAUAUAGAAACUAACAUUUAUUUUAACAAUACAAGAAUGUAAAGUGCAAGGGCAAAUUUUGUUCUUUUGCAACCUGUUGAAAAAAGAUAAGUGAUAAAUGUUCUGGAAAACUGUAAACUCCGUAACUAAGUAUAAAUAAACUAGAUCAUAUUCUUAGUUUACGCGAUAAUACCGUACCUAAAUACUAACACAAGUAAGCAAGUAGAGAAUACGAAGGCGUUCGAGCUAACAAUCAUUAAGGAACUCGGCAAAUUGACUCUCGUAACUUCGGGAUAAGGUGGGCCAUUCCUCCUGAUUAAUAUUAGGCAAGGAAUAGGAGGCAUAGAAUGGUGUUGUACGACUGUUUAAUUAAAACAAAGCACGCUGCAAAGAAAUGAAUUCGAAGUAUUGAGUGUGAUCUCUGCCCGAUGGCGGCUGGUUAUCGGAUUUGCUUAGUUGACUAGAAUAAGCUAGGCUUUGAAGGAAACCCCGUUCAAUGGCGGCCUUACCUAUAAGGGUCCUAAGGUAGCGGAAUACCCUGGCCGUUAAAUGCGGUCUUGCAUGAAUGAUGUAACGAUACAACAGCUGUCUCAAUGAUUGGCUCGGUGAAAUUGGAAUAACUGUGCAGAUACAGUUUACCUCUAGUUAGACGAGAAGACCCUAUGCAGCUUUACUGUUGCUAGUUACCGAGUAUGAUAUAAUGAGUUGUAGUUUAUAAGGUAAUUGAUAAGAUGAAAUUGAAACACCUUUACUUCAUUUAUCAUAUUAUAUAAACCUUGUCAGGAGAUAGGUCCAAUGGCCAUUCUUUUAAGAUUUCGUGAUUAAUACACGAGCACUGAUUGUAAGAAUUCAUAGGAACAAUUGCUAGGUGGCAGUUUAUGCGGGGCACAGAUCCCAUAAAAUUUACUUAUCAAGUUUAACGGCUUAAUCUUGCCUUACUGUUUGACUUACACGUCUUUCAGUCGCGUAAGCGGGGCAUAUGAUCACAAGAUGCAAAAAGGAAAGGUCUUGGAUUAUUGAAAAAGUUACGCUAGGGAUAACAGGCUAAUUGCGCCAGAGAGUUCAAAUUGAGUGCGCAGUUUGGCACCUCGAUGUCGGCUUAGCUUAUCCACAUGAAUGUAGGAGUCAUGAAGGGUGCGACUGUUCGUCGAUUAAAAAGCUACACGAGCUGGGUUAAAUACGUCGUGAGACAGUAUGGUUUCUAUCUUCUAGAGGAAAUUAGAAUAAAAUAAGGAUAGCCCCUUGUACGAAAGGAGUUGGGUAUGUUAACCUAUGGUUUACCUGUUGUUUAACAUCCUAUAUUAAUAUGAUUAAAAGGAAAAGAUGACGUUUUAUCUACAACAUGGAGAAACGAAGUAUUUCUUUAUAUAGCUUAUAUGUUUAUAGCCAAUAAUACGCUUAAUAUAUUGGCUUAUGUAAAUGUAAGCUGGGAUUUUUACUUUACACUAAGUAUUAAUUGGCUUAGUUGCUGAUUCAGGUUAGGUGUAAACAAAUUGAAUAAGAUGAUAUAAAUAAACUGUUUCAAGCGCUAUUCUUUAUAAUCGCACGGCAGGAAAGCUACGUUAGUUAAUGAUAAGUGCUGAAUGCAUAUAGGCACGAAACAUACCUUAAGAUAUUCUCAAAUAUACGUAGUUUAACACUACAAUUU